Zalophus californianus (California sea lion) is the source of this 462-nucleotide non-coding RNA. The record is from the annotation of a RefSeq genome assembly. NCBI's taxonomy places the organism in Eukaryota, Metazoa, Chordata, Mammalia, Carnivora, Otariidae.
GCUGAUUAAAACUGCCCAACCCUAACCCUGCAGCUGGGAGAGGAGCCCCAGGCUUGGGAUUCCCAGGUGUUCCCGUUCAUAAUCAGGACAGAACACAGACAACUCACCAUGGAGUUUGUGUUUCACUGGGUUUUCUUUGUUGCAAUUUUAAAAGGUGUCCAGUGUGAGGUGCAGCUGGUGGAGUCUGGGGGAGACCUGGUGAAGCCUGGGGGGUCCCUGAGACUCUCCUGUGCAGCCUCUGGAUUCACCUUCAGUAGCUAUAGCACGAGCUGGGUCCGCCAGGCUCCAGGGAAGGGGCUGCAGUGGGUCGCAUGGAUUAAGUAUGAUGGAAGUAGCACAAACUACGCAGACUCUGUGAAGGGCCGAUUCACCAUCUCCAGAGACAACGGCAAGAACACGCUGUAUCUGCAGAUGAACAGCCUGAGAGCCGAGGACACGGCCGUGUAUUACUGUGCCAGUCUG